This 85-nucleotide transfer RNA is filed under the name Polaromonas sp. RNAcentral describes it as "tRNA-Leu". It matches the Rfam family "tRNA". From Rfam's summary of the family: Transfer RNA (tRNA) molecules are approximately 80 nucleotides in length. Their secondary structure includes four short double-helical elements and three loops (D, anti-codon, and T loops). Further hydrogen bonds mediate the characteristic L-shaped molecular structure. tRNAs have two regions of fundamental functional importance: the anti-codon, which is responsible for specific mRNA codon recognition, and the 3' end, to which the tRNAs corresponding amino acid is attached (by aminoacyl-tRNA synthetases). tRNAs cope with the degeneracy of the genetic code in two manners: having more than one tRNA (with a specific anti-codon) for a particular amino acid; and 'wobble' base-pairing, i.e. permitting non-standard base-pairing at the 3rd anti-codon position. Lineage: Bacteria; Pseudomonadati; Pseudomonadota; Betaproteobacteria; Burkholderiales; Comamonadaceae. The record is from RNAcentral.
GCCCGGGUGGUGAAAUUGGUAGACGCAGGGGACUCAAAAUCCCCCGCCGAAAGGCGUGCCGGUUCGAUUCCGGCCUCGGGCACCA